CCUACGGGUGGCUGCAGUGGGGAAUAUUGGACAAUGGGCGAAAGCCUGAUCCAGCCAUGCCGCGUGUGUGAAGAAGGCCUUCGGGUUGUAAAGCACUUUCAGUGGGGAAGAAAGCCUUGGGGCUAAUACCCUCGAGGAAGGACAUCACCCACAGAAGAAGCACCGGCUAACUCCGUGCCAGCAGCCGCGGUAAUACGGAGGGUGCGAGCGUUAAUCGGAAUUACUGGGCGUAAAGCGCGCGUAGGCGGUCUGAUAAGCCGGUUGUGAAAGCCCCGGGCUCAACCUGGGAACGGCAUCCGGAACUGUCAGGCUAGAGUGCAGGAGAGGAAGGUAGAAUUCCCGGUGUAGCGGUGAAAUGCGUAGAGAUCGGGAGGAAUCCCAGUGGCGAAGGCGGCCUUCUGGACUGACACUGACGCUGAGGUGCGAAAGCGUGGGUAGCAAACAGGAUUAGAUACCCCUGUAGUC
Molecule: ribosomal RNA, 465 nt
Filed under: Vreelandella stevensii
Lineage: Bacteria; Pseudomonadati; Pseudomonadota; Gammaproteobacteria; Oceanospirillales; Halomonadaceae
Description: partial 16S ribosomal RNA
Rfam family: Bacterial small subunit ribosomal RNA
Source: RNAcentral